CCGAACGCAAAGCAGAUUGAGCCAUGCAGAUUGUGAGAGUAAGAAAAAAGCAACACUAUCUGAGUUGGUGAUCUGCAGUUGCAACAAAAACAAACACUGUGUUCUGUAAUAAAAAAAGGAAUAAAAAGCGUAAACAGAUAAAUAAACAAAAUAAUUAAGAAACUUUAUAUCGAUAUACAUAUUUCAUCUUAAAAAGCUAUAUGGUUCAAUUAAUAAAAAAAAGUAGUUGAGAAAACUAACCCUGAAAAUUUUUUCACAACAAAUGAAAAUAUUUAACAAAUAUAUAAUCUUACCAUUUACCAGACUCGAUCUCAAUGGAUGAGAUUUUUUGAUAUUAAACAAAAGAAGAGGCGGCUCUGAUACAUCCGCAAGCUCCGGCGUACACUCAAUCUCUCUCGAAUGGUAGAACGAUGGUAGAGCAGUAGGUGGCUUUGGGUUGCCUUUGAAUUC
This 450-nucleotide long non-coding RNA is filed under the name Nicotiana tabacum (common tobacco). Its description in RNAcentral is "long non-coding RNA (NTAB_LNC013855)". Lineage: Eukaryota; Viridiplantae; Streptophyta; Magnoliopsida; Solanales; Solanaceae. The record is from RNAcentral.